AACAACAUUAUCAGUGACCAUCUGUCGUCGUGCGGUGUUGUGGCUACACUGUAACCGCGGCUAAUACAUGCGUCCUGAACGCGUAUUUCGCGAUGGCUGUUGUAGAAAACGACGAAGACAUUAUCAAGAGAACGCAAUACAAAGCUAAAUUCAAACUAAAAGUAAUCGCGUUGGCUGAAAAAGUGGGAAACCGCUGUGCGGGCCGCCGAUACGCUGUGUCGGAACGUAACGUCCGAAGGUGGCGAUUAGACAAACAUCGACUUCAGCAUUGCCGUUCGGAUCAAUCUCUUUCCGAGGGCCCAGAUCAGGCAAGCUUUCAUUCAUUGAAACUGAGUUGGCUGCCUUUGUUGUUGCGAGCCGCAAGAAAGGUGCUAAGGUGACAUGGAGCAUGGUCGCAACAAGGCGCGUGUGCUGGCCACCGCGUACGGUGUUUCACAGGACACGUUUUGUGCAUCCAGAGGUUGGAUGAAGCGCUUCAUGACCAGGCAGGGCCUCAUCGUUGGUGCUACCAAAAGCCCGCUGACGCCACGAUACCCUGUCUUCACCAAGAAUCGCACGGAGAAGUUCGCUCUUUCCCAAAUCGGAAUAGGGUGUCAAGUGGCCCUGUAUUUCGACAAACCCGCAGAAUUCUUAAACGUCGAUGGCAUGGACUGCGAGUAUGAAUCGUCGAGGGUUGUGAACAUUGUGCUGUCUUGUACGGCAGACGGCCAAAAACUGCCUCUCUACGUCGGCUUGAAGGAAAGUCUUCAAGACAUUUCAAUGUUUCCCAGUAACGUUCAUGUGACGACAUGUUACGGAUGACAAUGAUGUUCUUCACGACUGGGUUCAGACCAUCUGGCUGUCACAGUGUGGCCCGCAGUCUAUGAGAAGAUCAGUGCUCAUUGUGGACAGCAGCAGCCCCAUGGCCGAUCCAAGGGUGCAUCGCAUCCUUAUUGACAAGGGCACACAAGUGCUCGAGGCACCGGGACUCUUUAAUACCGUUUACUCCAGUUUUCUGUCUACACUGAUGGCCAUUUACACUGACUGGAUUGUAGGUGAUGGACUUUGGAGGCCAAGACAUGCAGCAACCUGGCUGCACAUUGUAGACUGGAUAGCACUAGCUUGGCUGUCUGUGCAGCAAACCGUGAUAGAGCGUGCAUUUGCUGGCUACAAUGAAAAACUUGGACUUCAACUUGCAGACAACACCGGAAACCCAGCACAAGCAUGAAUUGUUGAGUUGACUUUUAAAGUGCCGCCAAACACAGACCGUUCUUCAACAGACAACAAUGUGAACCAAAAUUGAGGCAGGUUUAGAGGGCAAGUUUAGAGGGCAUGGCACUGUCAUGCUGCAAGCUGUGCCUGUUACCUAGACAUAUCGACUGGUUAUGCAUGUGACGGCUCUCAAGUGUUGUGAUGCAUGUGCAUUGACUUGUUCGGAGGGUAACUGUGCUUAUGGUGGUUGUAGUCAAACCGACAAACAUGAGCUAAAUCCAUAGGUAUCACACGUUUAGUUUGCCGUUUCAAUGACACACAAGUGUAUAUAUGAGCAGCCUUAUGUACAUUUCGUUUAUUAAGUACAGAUUGAGCACAGUAUAUACGGCAUAUACACAGACACAGUGUUUAGAAGUGACAGGACUGUUGCAUGUGGGUGCAUGCAAUAUUUGUUCCUGGCACGUAAUAAUACAAGUACACAACAGUCAAGAGGGCGUUGUGUGAAUGCACCAUCUUCUUGAAGAAAAGAAGUUAAUCUUUAGUGUAAAGUGUGCAACCAUCAUGUAAUUAUGGCAUAUUGCACAGUGGGAGGCUCCUGAAUAUUUUUUACCUAUUGGGAGUUCUUUAAUGUGCACCCAAAUCUAAGUAGACAAGUAUGUUUGUUUUACUCUCGUCAAAUAAAUGUAUCCAGGAGUUGGAACUCGUAACCUUUUGCUUAGCAGCAAGAGGCAGUGCUCAAAAAACUUUGUAGGAAUGUUUAAUGUCACUUGUCGGUGUCGUUACUUUCAAUAUUUAUGAAAAAUAAUUUUAAUUUUGCUGUUUCUAUUUAAGGCAAAAUUGUGUUUGGUACUAAUGUGUCCUUCACUUGCUUUUUGCAGGCAUAGUCCAAAUGGUUCUCACCUGUGGGUCGCGUGAAUACAUAAAAACUUCAGGCGCAAAUGAAAUACUGUCUUAUUAAGUUCAUCGUGUUCAAUUAAAAUGUCACUGAAUAAAUGUGAAUGACUUCAGUGCUUCAUAAUUGUCCACUGUUCUCAAUCGAACAAAAGAAAGUGGAGCAAAGUAUGAUAUACUUUACCCCGUGUCCAUAAUUAUCAACGUAAAACAUAGGUGCUUAGAGAAGCAGACCGCAAGAAAAAGUUUUCUUGCGUUAAUAAAUUUACUAAAAUGUCAAGAUCAUUAUAUUGUAAUGGGGCAAUCGUUAUUCGAAAACAAAACUAAAAGUUAGUUGCUUUUCUCUGAAUAUAGCAUGGUUAUAAGGCUUCUGAGAAAUCCUUCAAGAUUGUUAAUUUUUUUUAACGUUCGUACGCUCACUCCCCACAACACUUUUCUUUGUGUUAAUGUACUCGUAUGUAUAUGUGUGAAAUAAUUGUUGGAAGUCCGACUGUGAUAACUUAUUUGCAAACUUGUUUUUUCCAUAAACGCGUGGUCUUCCCAAUAAAGUUUAUCAGUUAUAAAUCGCA
Long non-coding RNA from Rhipicephalus microplus (southern cattle tick), 2651 nucleotides. The record is from RefSeq and is a predicted model, not a curated record. NCBI's taxonomy places the organism in Eukaryota, Metazoa, Arthropoda, Arachnida, Ixodida, Ixodidae.